UUCUGGAAGCUGAGAAGUCCGAAAUCAAGGUACCAGCAGGGUCCGGUCUGCUGAGGGCUGCUCUCUGCUGUGCCCUCCAGAGAGAACAAAUGCUGUGUCCUCCAGGAGGAAGACCUGGCUCUCUGUGAAGACAUGGCUUGGAUUUAAUUGGGUUGUAAUGCACACAAAGUAAUCAAGUCAAAUCCACAAAUGGCCGUUGAGGACAACUAUUACAAGGAAAUAAGCUUGACAAAAUGCCCCUUUACUAAUUUCUGGCCUGAAAUCUACAGACCUUGCACCCCAGUUGAUAAAUAGCAGAAUUGGAAUUUAAACAGGCCUGGUGACCCAAAAACUUGACUCUAUAUCUUACCCUGAAGAAAUAUGCAAGUGAUAUCAAGCCUGAUAUUGAAACUUUAGUCCACUUCAUCAGACUUUGGAAAAAAACGUGACACUCAACAUAGCAGGUGCCCUAGACAAUGACGGAAUCUCGUUGAAAGCUCUUUAAGCUGAAAUUAAUUUAUGCUCGACAGUGAUUAAAAGAGAAAGUGAGAAGGGGAUGGAAAUUAACAAAUCCAUCUUUAUUGCUGAGAUCCCAUUAUGAUUAUAAGGAGAGAGAAAAAUCAACGUGGCGGGUGCCAGCUGCAAUCUGAUGACCUUUCAUCUUAUUUCUCAUCUGCUGGUCCCAUCAACCCUAACUUUGUAUCUGCUAAAACUCAGGAUGUGAUAGGUUAUAUUGGGCAACAAUGACAACAAUUCAGUGGGCUAAAGAAAAAGUUUAAUUUCUGCUGAUAUUGCAUAUCCAACAAGGACUGGAAGAGGGAAUCUUCACUUUGGACCCUAAAAGGUCCAGCCUGAUUUUGAAAUUUGAAGACAAAUUGAUAGGUGGAAACACGAUUCAAGAGAAGGUGAACACACCAUUGUUACUACAGACAGAAGAUGGAUUGAGGGAAGAGUGGCUUAUUUAAUUGGUGAAUUUUAGAGAAGAAAUUGAGAAUGUCUGCUACUUUUCAUCCCUCCUGAAACUACUACUAUUUUUAGAGGUGCCUAACAUGUUGACCUGCUCUUUGUCUUCUGAAUCUAAUUGGAAACCAUCUUGGAACACACAUGUUGUAUAAAAUGAGAUACCACUAUCUGCAUCUUGUGCCUUUUGUAACAAUAUAAUAAAAUUGUCAUAUAUUGAUUGCCGGAAUCAA
Long non-coding RNA from Homo sapiens (human), 1172 nucleotides. RefSeq lists it as uncharacterized. The transcript has 8 exons. NCBI's taxonomy places the organism in Eukaryota, Metazoa, Chordata, Mammalia, Primates, Hominidae. The record is from RefSeq and is a predicted model, not a curated record.